GCCUCCUUAGCUCAGUUGGCUAGAGCAUCCGCCUUGUAAGCGGAAGGUCGCCGGUUCAAGCCCAGCAGGAGGCU
Molecule: transfer RNA, 74 nt
Filed under: Aeriscardovia sp.
Lineage: Bacteria; Bacillati; Actinomycetota; Actinomycetes; Bifidobacteriales; Bifidobacteriaceae
Description: tRNA-Thr
Rfam family: tRNA
About the family: Transfer RNA (tRNA) molecules are approximately 80 nucleotides in length. Their secondary structure includes four short double-helical elements and three loops (D, anti-codon, and T loops).
Source: RNAcentral